Long non-coding RNA from Ceratitis capitata (Mediterranean fruit fly), 1054 nucleotides. RefSeq lists it as uncharacterized. The transcript is spliced from 3 exons. Lineage: Eukaryota; Metazoa; Arthropoda; Insecta; Diptera; Tephritidae. The record is from RefSeq and is a predicted model, not a curated record.
GGAGAAUGUAUAAAGUAAAAUCAGAAGUCACAAUGAAAUGUAUCAAGCGGACAUAAUGCUUUCAACAUUGCUCUUUUAUAAGCCGGGAAGUUGUUGAACUUGUAUCACUGAUUUAUGCGGAAUGAAAGUUGUCCAACUACCCAUCAGAAUACCGUAAAUAAGCUGGGAAAUAAAGAGCGCAAUGCACACUUAUCGCCGACACGCGAAGCUCCCAAGCCUGAUGCGGUGUAUAGAUUGCACUCAUGUCAGAAUCCAAUCCAUUGGAGAAGCAGAUACCUAAACUUUUCGAAGCAAAAAAGCGUACCCUUCCUUCAAGAACCACAAGCUGCCUGUAUUGCUGGACAUGAGUGCAUUUUUUUUGGCAAUGUAGUCUGGAGCAACGAUUUGAGCUGAACGAAUUUAGGGACUGUUUUUUAUUGAGCGCCAUUGGAGUUUCACUCUGCAAAACUAUAAACAUGAUUCUCACCUGUCAAAUAAAAAAAUAUUUUAUCGGCUUAAAGGAACUUGUGAGAUCAUUACAUAGAUUAAAACUGGUAUUCGGUAGUAGAGAGUAGAAAUCUUAAAUCAAUUAUUUUUGAGUUUUACUAUAGUUGUUUGAAAAUAGAGUAAAUUAGUGAUAAAAGUUGUUGAAUACUGCGUGCAAAAUUAAGUGAGAUUUUAUUGCAAACUGAUCACACUUGGAAGGGUUGUUAUGGUAAUCCAAUUAAGACACUGGAAAAUGGUUGGUUCCAUUGGGGCGAUCUUGGUGAUUUCGAUGAUGAAGGCUUUCUUUACAUUGCGGAUCGCAAGAAGGAUAUACUCAAGUAUCAGGGUGCGCAUUAUUUGCCUGCGGAAAUUGAGCAGAUUUUACAAGAAUUGCCUGAAGUGGCGGAAGUUUGUGUGGUGGGUGUGUAUGAUGAGCGAAAUGCUGAUGCGGCCGGUGCAGUGGUGCGUCGUAAAGGUGCAGGUCUAAUUGAGCAACAGAAUAAUAAUGGGAAAAUAUUGGAGAGAGAAGCCAAAGUUUUACUGGAGGAAAGGAAAGUGCAAAGGGAAAUCUCUUAAUACGAUUAAGUGU